CAGCCUCUUUUGUCUCCAACCUCCAUUGGGACAACACCAUAUUAAUUGUCGCUGACAAUAUUUAAUAUUUCUUCUCUUUAGACAACGUCACAAUGAAGGUCGUCGCCUCAGCACUGACCAUUUCAGAACCCUCAUGUCCAAUUGAUAUACUUUAGGAUGUAAAUGUAGUAGUGAUAAGUUAUGUAUGACCUUGUAGGAUUAGUAUAGAUAGUUAUAGUUCAGUUAAAUGUUAUUGUUUUUGUUAAACUUCUAUGACUUUAUAGAAGUGCAUGAAGAUAAGUUGUAAAUAAUAAAGGGAAAAGACAUCCCAAUAUAUACUCACAUAAA
RNAcentral lists this long non-coding RNA (327 nucleotides) under Strongylocentrotus purpuratus (purple sea urchin). RNAcentral describes it as "uncharacterized LOC115928553". The record is from RNAcentral. Lineage: Eukaryota; Metazoa; Echinodermata; Echinoidea; Camarodonta; Strongylocentrotidae.